This is a long non-coding RNA of Gadus macrocephalus (Pacific cod), 2830 nucleotides long. RefSeq lists it as uncharacterized. The record is from RefSeq and is a predicted model, not a curated record. NCBI's taxonomy places the organism in Eukaryota, Metazoa, Chordata, Actinopteri, Gadiformes, Gadidae. The transcript is spliced from 5 exons.
CUCUUCCUACCAGCCUGGAUUGAUGGAGAGCCCUGUGGAUCUUGUCUCGCUCUCAGUUGCACGUCUUCGCAGGCUGAACUGUAUUUGUUUCGGACAGGACUAGCUGAACGAUUGGUUCUGAUUUAAGGGAACCAAUCGUGGGAACUCCAACUAGUGCGCUCUUCGUGCUGAAGUUGUGCUCUUCGGCUGAGGAGGUAAGGAAACCUUCACUGGGGCUUCAAGGUGUAAAGAGGAGGACUGUUUCAAAGUGUUCCAUAGUACUCUGAUGAAGACCGUUGUUGUGUUCCACUGGCUGAGGGGAAGAACCCUCACAUCUUCCUCUUGGCCUUUCUCCUCUGAGAAUCCUGCCGCCAUCUUGAAGGAUAUUCUAGUGCAUGUAACUGAUGUCACGACAGAUUCUCAAACACUUGGUUUCUCCUGAGGGGCUUGUCUAUAGAACUGAAGACGUCAGACGGCACUGUAUCCCAGCAUGCAUCUCUGCUCACUCAGACCACACCCCCAUGAGUAGGAUGCAACGCUCUAGUGAUGGAGUUGUAGAGUUUUAUAAGUAACGAGGGAGCAGACAAAGGUGAUUGGAACACAAUGGCAUGUCAAGUCUGUAAAUCUUUAAACCAUGAAGAUGGUUGGAUAGUUCAGGAAUUGGGCUUUAUUUUAGUAAGGGCAGUCCUUAUUGAAUGAUUCCAUUGUUUUUAGGCAAGGAUUUGUUGUUGUGGGAUGUACAAGGUAGUUGGGUUCUUCGUACGGUUUUGAUUGAUAUAACUUGUACACACUGGGUGCAUAAUAAUUUAAAGGUACACUGAAUAGUAGUAAUGACCAACAGCAACAAACAGAUCUCCUCAAGGUAAGUCUGUUGGCUGUAUUUUAAUGAAGACCAUCGCUGGACUUCAGGAUCUUCCUCCGCUCAGCUCAAGGUGAGGCGCUGGUUAUGUUUUUUCCUUGGUUGGUUCCGGCUGGAAUGUUCGGAUUCCAGUCGGACGGUUUGUGCUUCCCGUCGUGGAAGGUUUUGAGUGCGGUCACUUGAUUUAGUCCCAAUGGUUAGCAUAGAACGUUGUAGUCUUGACAACCAUUAGAAGCCACCUGGCAGUUAGUUGGACAGGAAUCUGGCUGAAGGUUCUGGAUUAUAUUUGCGUAACCUCGAGCCGUUGCCAACGGAAACUAUUUUCCGUCGUUUCCAUUGGGAAUUGUUUUCCCAUUAUCUUAAACAACUUAAGUUUGAUAUUAAAUACAUACUGACACGUACAUCGUACAAUAUGUUUAAUUUUCGAUUGUUGCAGCGUACUUUUAACCACGUUAACGGGACUCUCGCUGCGUACAAAACGGCGUUCUACUUGCGGGCCCAUUUUUGACAUCAGUGAAGGCUGAAGAUCAUUUCAAGGUGGAAGAUAAUUUGACAUUUCUUCAACGGAACCCAGCACCUGAAUAUGGCGAGUAAAUUUGAUUUAAUGUCAAUACUGCUUAGUGUUCUUUGCGACUUCAGCUUUUGUACGUUCUAAAUAUCUGCUGUCAUUAAUUGCCACAGAAGUUAAACCCUACCUAAUGGAAUGACGUUAAACAACGACUUUGGUGCUGAGUUACCAACUGGAUAAUAUCAAAGCUAAAAUAAUGGCCGUCCUUCCCACGUGUUACAGUAGAAGAUACUCUAUCUGUACAAGGUUAAAAAGGUAACAUGUAGUUUGUCCCAAGGUGUCCACCUCCUCACCCAGAGCCAGACCUCCACCUCCUCACCCAGAGCCAGACCUCCACCUCCUCACCCAGAGCCAGAUCUCCACCUCCUCACAAGUCCUCCAGAACAGCUGAAAGGCGAGGCUGAGAGGCUGGGGACCGGAGGCUUGUGGUGCCAGGAUGGACCAGAGACUGAGGCUGGAGACCAGGGGCCUGCAGCACCAGACCAGAGGACCAGGAAUCCAUGGCUGAAGGAGCUGAUGGAGGAGCCGUGCUGAAGGCCCUGCCUGGUGGAGGAGCCGUGCUGGAGGCCCUGCCUGGUGGAGGAGCUGUGCUGGAGGCCCUGCCUGUUGGAGGAGCUGAUGGAGGCCCUGCCUGGUGGAGGAGCCGUGCUGAAGGCCCUGCCUGUUGGAGGAGCUGAUGGAGGCCCUGCCUGGUGGAGGAGCCAUGCUGGAGGCCCUGCCUGGUGGAGGAGCCGUGCUGAAGGCCCUGCCUGUUGGAGGAGCUGAUGGAGGCCCUGCCUGGUGGAGGAGCCGUGCUGGAGGCCCUGCCUGGUGGAGGAGCCGUGCUGGAGGCCCUGCCUGGUGGAGGAGCCGUGCUGAAGGCCCUGCCUGUUGGAGGAGCUGAUGGAGGCCCUGCCUGGUGGAGGAGCCGUGCUGAAGGCCCUGCCUGGUGGAGGAGCUGAUGGAGGCCCUGCCUGGUGGAGGACUGUCUGUCGUGGGGUAGAUGGAGCAUGACUCUGAAAUGAUCAUCACACUCACUGCCACUUCUCGUAGAAUACUGCUACCACAAACCACCGCCUUUUGUACCAUAUAUACCAGAUGACUACAUCUGUUUUACCACAUGUUGAAGCAAGACUUCCGCUGUUUGUUCCUGACCAGGACUCUGGCUGAGGAGAGCUGCUGGAGGAGCUGAGACGCUGGAGGACGACUACGAAUCGACCAACAAGGAUUCCUCAACGUGUUUCUGGAGCGGAGGCGAGCUGGUAGGGGAGCCAAGACUCUGGAGGACGACAUCACUCUACCAACAAGGAUCAUCGUAAGUUUGCAUAAAAGACAAAUUACGUUUGUAACCAGACCAGGAAUCUGGAGGACUGACGGAGAAACCGUACAUCUGGAAGGCAAAUCCUGAGGACGACCAGGACUCUACCAUCAAGGAUUCCUAGUAA